RNAcentral lists this non-coding RNA (30 nucleotides) under Mus musculus (house mouse). The record is from RNAcentral. Lineage: Eukaryota; Metazoa; Chordata; Mammalia; Rodentia; Muridae.
UGGGUUUGCCUGGAAGUGGCGAUGGCCAGU